This 1346-nucleotide ribosomal RNA is filed under the name uncultured bacterium. RNAcentral describes it as "bacterial SSU rRNA". It matches the Rfam family "Bacterial small subunit ribosomal RNA", at positions 28 to 1381 of the family's 1533-position model. The record is from RNAcentral.
GACGAACGCUGGCGGCGUGCUUAACACAUGCAAGUCGAACGGAAAGGCCCUGCUUUUGUGGGGUGCUCGAGUGGCGAACGGGUGAGUAACACGUGAGUAACCUGCCCUUGACUUUGGGAUAACUUCAGGAAACUGGGGCUAAUACCGGAUAGGAGCUCCUGCUGCAUGGUGGGGGUUGGAAAGUUUCGGCGGUUGGGGAUGGACUCGCGGCUUAUCAGCUUGUUGGUGGGGUAGUGGCUUACCAAGGCUUUGACGGGUAGCCGGCCUGAGAGGGUGACCGGCCACAUUGGGACUGAGAUACGGCCCAGACUCCUACGGGAGGCAGCAGUGGGGAAUAUUGCACAAUGGGCGGAAGCCUGAUGCAGCAACGCCGCGUGCGGGAUGACGGCCUUCGGGUUGUAAACCGCUUUCGCCUGUGACGAAGCGUGAGUGACGGUAAUGGGUAAAGAAGCACCGGCUAACUACGUGCCAGCAGCCGCGGUGAUACGUAGGGUGCGAGCGUUGUCCGGAUUUAUUGGGCGUAAAGGGCUCGUAGGUGGUUGAUCGCGUCGGAAGUGUAAUCUUGGGGCUUAACCCUGAGCGUGCUUUCGAUACGGGUUGACUUGAGGAAGGUAGGGGAGAAUGGAAUUCCUGGUGGAGCGGUGGAAUGCGCAGAUAUCAGGAGGAACACCAGUGGCGAAGGCGGUUCUCUGGGCCUUUCCUGACGCUGAGGAGCGAAGGCGUGGGGAGCGAACAGGCUUAGAUACCCUGGUAGUCCACGCUGUAAACGGUGGGUACUAGGUGUGGGGUCCAUUCCACGGGUUCCGUGCCGUAGCUAACGCUUUAAGUACCCCGCCUGGGGAGUACGGCCGCAAGGCUAAAACUCAAAGGAAUUGACGGGGCCCCGCACAAGCGGCGGAGCAUGCGGAUUAAUUCGAUGCAACGCGUAGAACCUUACCUGGGUUUGACAUGGAUCGGGAGCGCUCAGAGAUGGGUGUGCCUCUUUUGGGGUCGGUUCACAGGUGGUGCAUGGCUGUCGUCAGCUCGUGUCGUGAGAUGUUGGGUUAAGUCCCGCAACGAGCGCAACCCUUGUUCACUGUUGCCAGCACGUUAUGGUGGGGACUCAGUGGAGACCGCCGGGGUCAACUCGGAGGAAGGUGGGGAUGACGUCAAGUCAUCAUGCCCCUUAUGUCCAGGGCUUCACGCAUGCUACAAUGGCUGGUACAGAGAGUGGCGAGCCUGUGAGGGUGAGCGAAUCUCGGAAAGCCGGUCUCAGUUCGGAUUGGGGUCUGCAACUCGACCUCAUGAAGUCGGAGUCGCUAGUAAUCGCAGAUCAGCAACGCUGCGGUGAAUACGUUCCCGGGGCU